UGAACGCUGGCGGUAGGCCUACCACAUGCAAGUCGCACGGCAGCACAGUAAGAGCUUGCUCUUACGGGUGGCGAGUGGCGGACGGGUGAGGAAUACAUCGGAAUCUACUUUUUCGUGGGGGAUAACGUAGGGAAACUUACGCUAAUACCGCAUACGACCUACGGGUGAAAGCAGGGGAUCUUCGGACCUUGCGCGAUUGAAUGAGCCGAUGUCGGAUUAGCUAGUUGGCGGGGUAAAGGCCCACCAAGGCGACGAUCCGUAGCUGGUCUGAGAGGAUGAUCAGCCACACUGGAACUGAGACACGGUCCAGACUCCUACGGGAGGCAGCAGUGGGGAAUAUUGGACAAUGGGCGCAAGCCUGAUCCAGCCAUACCGCGUGGGUGAAGAAGGCCUUCGGGUUGUAAAGCCCUUUUGUUGGGAAAGAAAAGCAGCAGGUUAAUACCCCGCUGUUCUGACGGUACCCAAAGAAUAAGCACCGGCUAACUUCGUG
This 490-nucleotide ribosomal RNA is filed under the name uncultured bacterium. Its description in RNAcentral is "partial 16S ribosomal RNA". It matches the Rfam family "Bacterial small subunit ribosomal RNA", at positions 30 to 507 of the family's 1533-position model. The record is from RNAcentral.